Molecule: ribosomal RNA, 465 nt
Filed under: uncultured bacterium
Lineage: Bacteria
Description: bacterial SSU rRNA
Rfam family: Bacterial small subunit ribosomal RNA
Source: RNAcentral
CUACGGGAGGCAGCAGUGGGGAAUCUUGCGCAAUGCGCGAAAGCGUGACGCAGCAACGCCGCGUGGGGGAAGACGGCCUUCGGGUUGUAAACCCCUUUCAGUUGGGACGAAGCUUCGCCGGUGAACAGCCGGCUGGAGUGACGGUACCUUCAGAAGAAGCCCCGGCUAACUACGUGCCAGCAGCCGCGGUAAUACGUAGGGGGCAAGCGUUGUCCGGAAUCAUUGGGCGUAAAGAGCGUGUAGGCGGCCCGGUAAGUCCGCCGUGAAAGUCCAGGGCUCAACCCUGGGAUGCCGGUGGAUACUGUCGGGCUCGAGUCCGGAAGAGGCGAGUGGAAUUCCUGGUGUAGCGGUGAAAUGCGCAGAUAUCAGGAGGAACACCAAUGGCGAAGGCGGCCAUCUGGGCUAAAACUGACGCUGAGGCGCGAAAGCGUGGGGAGCAAACAGGAUUAGAUACCCGAGUAGUCC